Molecule: ribosomal RNA, 493 nt
Filed under: uncultured bacterium
Lineage: Bacteria
Description: partial 16S ribosomal RNA
Rfam family: Bacterial small subunit ribosomal RNA
Source: RNAcentral
GAGUGAACGCUGGCGGUAGGCCUAACACAUGCAAGUCGAACGGCAGCACAGUAAGAGCUUGCUCUUACGGGUGGCGAGUGGCGGACGGGUGAGGAAUACAUCGGAAUCUACUUUUUCGUGGGGGAUAACGUAGGGAAACUUAUGCUAAUACCGCAUACGACCUACGGGUGAAAGCAGGGGAUCUUCGGACCUUGCGCGAUUGAAUGAGCCGAUGUCGGAUUAGCUAGUUGGCGGGGUAAAGGCCCACCAAGGCGACGAUCCGUAGCUGGUCUGAGAGGAUGAUCAGCCACACUGGAACUGAGACACGGUCCAGACUCCUACGGGAGGCAGCAGUGGGGAAUAUUGGACAAUGGGCGCAAGCCUGAUCCAGCCAUACCGCGUGGGUGAAGAAGGCCUUCGGGUUGUAAAGCCCUUUUGUUGGGAAAGAAAAGCAGCAGGUUAAUACCCCGCUGUUCUGACGGUACCCAAAGAAUAAGCACCGGCUAACUUCGUG